AGGAGAAGUCCAUGCUGAUAUUUCCCCCGAGCCUCCCUGGAGGGAAGCUGGGUCCUCAGAGGAACCACUGGAGACCCCCCCCCCACGGCGUUGACACUCCUUUCUGGCUUAUUUGGGGUCUUUUGGAGACAAAGUCUCACUCUGUACUCCAGUAUGGUCUGAAAUUCAUUCAUGGCAAUGCUCUUGCCUCAGCUUCCUGAGGAUUCCUAGGAUUACAGACAUCUGUGGCAUUCUGGGCAUGUCCUGCUCAUGGUUGUGGCCCAAGUGUAAUUUGUG
RNAcentral lists this long non-coding RNA (276 nucleotides) under Cricetulus griseus (Chinese hamster). RNAcentral describes it as "lncRNA (ENSCGRG00015034359.1)". The record is from RNAcentral. Lineage: Eukaryota; Metazoa; Chordata; Mammalia; Rodentia; Cricetidae.